GCGGGGGUAGCAUAGUGGCUAUGCAACCGGCUGCAGACCGGUAUAGGUGAGUUCAAAUCUCACCCCCCGCU
Molecule: transfer RNA, 71 nt
Filed under: Candidatus Altarchaeota archaeon
Lineage: Archaea; Nanobdellati; Candidatus Altarchaeota
Description: tRNA-Cys
Rfam family: tRNA
About the family: Transfer RNA (tRNA) molecules are approximately 80 nucleotides in length. Their secondary structure includes four short double-helical elements and three loops (D, anti-codon, and T loops). Further hydrogen bonds mediate the characteristic L-shaped molecular structure. tRNAs have two regions of fundamental functional importance: the anti-codon, which is responsible for specific mRNA codon recognition, and the 3' end, to which the tRNAs corresponding amino acid is attached (by aminoacyl-tRNA synthetases). tRNAs cope with the degeneracy of the genetic code in two manners: having more than one tRNA (with a specific anti-codon) for a particular amino acid; and 'wobble' base-pairing, i.e. permitting non-standard base-pairing at the 3rd anti-codon position.
Source: RNAcentral